CCUACGGGAGGCAGCAGUAGGGAAUCUUCCGCAAUGGACGAAAGUCUGACGGAGCAACGCCGCGUGAGUGAUGAAGGCUUUCGGGUCGUAAAACUCUGUUGUUAGGGAAGAACAAGUACAAGAGUAACUGCUUGUACCUUGACGGUACCUAACCAGAAAGCCACGGCUAACUACAUGCCAGCAGCCGCGGUAAU
Molecule: ribosomal RNA, 194 nt
Filed under: uncultured bacterium
Lineage: Bacteria
Description: partial 16S ribosomal RNA
Rfam family: Bacterial small subunit ribosomal RNA
Source: RNAcentral